Molecule: long non-coding RNA, 1133 nt
Organism: Ostrea edulis (European flat oyster)
Lineage: Eukaryota; Metazoa; Mollusca; Bivalvia; Ostreida; Ostreidae
Exons: 2
Source: RefSeq, a predicted model, not a curated record
UUAAUCAGUAUAAAUGUGAUUAACAUUCAAAUAAAUCCAGAUAAUACAUUCACAAUUGGAAUCAUGGCAUUAUGGUACACUGAUAUGUGUGUACCAUUUUACUGGGUUUUUUUUUUUUUUUUUUUUUUUUUUUUUUUGCUGCAUAACUAGGGAUCGUAUACAUACAAAAUGAGACAAUUUCUAAUUAGUUUCUAAUUAUAAGGUAUGACACGUUUUAAGGUAUGGUGGCCAAUACUGAUUUUAUUUUUAUUUGCAAUUUUCUUUCAGAUAUGGGACUCUAUUAUUCGGAAAACUGCAGAUUUUAUGAAGCUGUCUUUGACAGAAGAUUUGGUUUUCUCCAUCUGUGUUGCCACCAACCAUUAUGCUGAGAUAGUCAUAACUAGGGGGAAGGGUUGCCAUAUACUUCCCAAGGAAGUUUGCAGCCUCUCACUGAAGAGGAACUGUACAGAUUUUUGUGCAUUAUCUUAUACACGCCUGCUGUGAAGUUCCAGUCGAUAGACAGAUAUUGGUCAACGCAUGCCCCUGUCGGAACAACUCGUUAUCAAGAAUUAUGUCUAGAAAUAGGUUUCAAGAGGUUGAAUAUAAGAACAUUUUUGUUAAAUAUGAUGCAAGUACAUUUGAAUCUAGUGAUUGAAAGUAAGUACUUGAACAUUCGUUUAUGUUGAACUUGGAGAGGAAAAAUGGUUAAUACUUUUUGAUAACAUUUGAUAAGGUGUUGUUGCUUAGCAACCAAAUAUAAUUGAAUAAAAAUAGAUUAUUUUAGAUUAACAAUAAUUGAAAGAUCUUUGUUUUAAUGUUGCAAUACUUAUUAUAUUUAAUGGAACAUAAUGGCAAAACGUCAUAUUAUUAGAAAAUGAUGGACAAGUAUAUAAAGUACGAAGUUUCCAUUUGAUGACCUUUGAUCUUAAUUCUCUUGAUUAUAUUUUUUGUUAAAAACCUUUUAAAAUGAUUAAGAUCUAUUUAAAGAUUAUAUUUUUAAAAUAAUGUGACAUUUACUAAUCAUCAUGGAUUGUAAUUACGUUUAAAUUGUGUCGAAUGGAUGCAGAAAGGCAAAUUAUGGUCAAAAUUGUACUAUGAGUGUUGUUACUUAGCAACCAAAAAUAUUUGUUUGUCAAUAAAAUUGAUUAGUUUGA